AUUUUAAACCAAAUCGUAAACCGUAUCACUCCACUUUACAGUUUUGACGCGGUUUUAACCGUAAAAUUGUAAAUCGCUUAUCAAUUAAAAAAACAGUAAAUGAUAAGUAAAAAAAUGCUGAUUCUUUUUUCCUUUAUAUAUUUAUGUAUGAUAUUUGUAAGUACGACACAACAAGAUCUGAAAAAAUAAAAUGUAACUCGUCUUUUUUUCUUCCAUUCUAGGUGAUCUUCCAUUCCAAUUUCUUGAAUUUCAUUAAUUGAACUUCACAUACUGAUUGAACACCAUUAAUUCUCUGCAAACAUAUCCUGAACUCCAUUAACGCUCACAUAUCUUAAAUUUUCAAAAAGUUAGAUCAUGAAGCAGCAAACCAACAAUAUCAUUAAUACAACCAUGAACCAACACUAUGAAUCAUCUAAUAAAUCAACAACAGAACAACAGCAUCAUCAUCCAAAAACUAUUAACGACUUUAAAGGGAAGAGACUUAUUACCUAAAAAAUCUUACAUGCUCUCGGCACAAUAGAAGCCUCACAAGUAUGAGUGGGAGUGGGAGUAGCAUGACGACGAAAAUGGGAAAAGUCACUUAUCUCACGAUUCUUAAAACAUUACUCAAUUCUGAAAUUUAAAAGAUAUCUAUAUAAAAAAUUAUAAAUAAAAAUAAUACCAUAACUAUAAAAAAUGAGAAGCUAAGAAGUAACUGUAAAAAAUGUGACACUCCCUUCUAUGCAUUGCACUUGAUUUCUGACAAGAACAUAAAAGUUCUGGUGAAAAAAAAAUGAUGAUAUUAACAAAGCAAUAAAAGCAAAAGGCCAAAUUAACUACACACUUAACAAGUAACAACUAAGAUAAAACAUGGAACUUAAUUAACUAUGUAGAACAUUAUGAAAAGGAAUUGAGAAACUAAGCUUACCCUUAAACGAGUUAUUGUGUCGUGGUCGCCGGAUCGGAGGUUAGAGCUGUAGUCGGAAACCGGAAAAGAAGAAGCGAACAGAAGUGAAGUCUCGUCGAUCUACAAGAAAAAGAAGCAAAGUUAUUGUCUCGUCAAUUGUUGUCGUUUCAUCGAUCGCCGCCACAUCUAUUUGGGGAAAAAAUUUGAGGCGGAGGAUUCAAGUAUGGUGGGAAUUGGAGAUUUGGAUGCUCACCUUUUAGAUUUUAAAACUAAAACGGUAGAUAUGGAAAUCGGCGAAGAAGAAGCAAACUGAGGCUGAAUUUACAAAAAAAAAAGAAAAAAAAGAGGAAGAAGAAGCAAAAUAGUGAAAAAUAGGGAUUUUAGUAUUUCACUGUUUAGAUUUGUAUGUUUUUCAUUUAUCUUUCUUUCACUUGCGGUUUGCGAUUUUAAAUUAGAAAUCGUGAUUUUAAAUCAAAUCUAAUUGUAUAUUAUUAAUUGGGAAAAAAACCACACUGCACGUUAAAUUGCAAUACGAUACGAUGCGAUCACAAAAUAAAUAAAUUACAAUUCGAUGCGAUGCGGGUAAACCAAUUUAAUACCCACCCUAAUACCUCCCACUUCUGAGGAAUUGAGGUUGGCAUGCAGCUCGACAGGUUUCCAUUGAGGUAUGAA
RNAcentral lists this long non-coding RNA (1558 nucleotides) under Linum usitatissimum (flax). RNAcentral's name for it is "long non-coding RNA (LUSI_LNC005122)". The record is from RNAcentral. Lineage: Eukaryota; Viridiplantae; Streptophyta; Magnoliopsida; Malpighiales; Linaceae.